AAGCGGGGCGCUCCGACGGCAACAAAGGCCAACGGAGAGGGGCGGGGGCACCGGGACCGGAGGCAGCGGCCCCUGGCGGUCACCCGUCGCCGUGCAGCCCGGCGGGAGGGCUUGGGUAGAGGCGCCCGGGAACCGCGCCGCAGCGCCGUGUGCAGGGCGCUUAGACCACAGAUAUGUGAAAGACCCUGCCUACCCUGGAAGAUGUCACAGUCUCAACCGAGGCGCGGCUACAGAGCUCUAUCUGCCGACCCGGGAAGCACCUGCCUCCACUUUCUUAUCUACAGCUCAUUCCCUGUCAGUUUGCUUUUGCUCUCACAAUGUCACUUAAAUGAUUUUUUUGUGUAUCAAAAUCCAAAGAAUAAUUUUCAGUUAUUUAUCCCAAACCUGUAACACUAUGCCUCUUUUUUUUUUAAAGACUUCUACUGGCUUCAGCAUUUCCUGAAGUCCUUUUCAGUUUUCUUCAAAGGCCCCUCUUGCUUUGCUCCAAUUAAGCAUGUGUUCACUGUGGUUCCAAACCUAGGUGUCUUGUUAUUCCAUUCUCCGUUCUCCCCUUGACUGUCUCAUUCAUUCUUACGGCCAACUAUCCUUACAAAUCUAUUUCCAGCCACGUCUCAGAUUCAUACUUCCAAGUGUCUGCUGGACAGCUCCACCUGGAUAUUCUACUAAAAUCAGAUUUAAGGAGUCCAAACCAAACCCUUUAAAAUCUUUCCCCACAAACAUGUACUUGUCCUGUGCUUCCUGUCUCAAUGAAUGGAAUCUUUGCACCAGAAGUGACAAUUUCUGUCUUGCUCCUUUCCCCUAUUAAGCUGUUCAUGAUAUCUUGACAUCUUUAACCUCAUGAACUACUUUCACGUGAUUCCCCUGCCAUUCUGAUGGUUCCUUGUGCUGGUGCAGACCCUUAUCACAUCUUGCUAGAAAUAUCACACCUACUUCCUUGCUAAUCUCACAGUGUCUGGGAGCAUCCACCACCACCACCACCACCCCAACCAUUUGGUUGCACUGAUAGGAUAGUGACAGUAAGAGAUUCAACUUAAACAUCACGUUCUCAUAUACACAUUUGUAUGUAUUCAUUCAUAUGUAUUUUUCGUGGGCACACUGAUGUAUGCCUAUAACCUCAGCUACUUAGGAGGUUGAGGCAGAAGAAUCACAGGUUUGAGAACAGUCUGAGAAAUUUAGCAAAACCCUGUUUCAAAAUAAAAAUUUAAAAAGGACUAGGGAUGUAGCUCAGUGGCAGACUGCUUUUUGAGCAAGUACAAAGCCCUGGGUUCAAUUCCCAGUAUAAAUAAACAAAUAUUGUUGGAUGCUUUCUUCACACCAGAUACUGGAUAUGGGAGCUUAAGAGAUGGAUCACACCCAGUCCUUACCCAUGUGGAGAUUAAUUUCUGACACUUAUUUAGCAUGCCUAACUUCUCUUCAGCAGAGGUUCUCAAAUAGCAACAUUCAGAGUCACCCAGAGGGCAUGUUAAAACACUCAUUGCUGAUAACUGCCUCCAUAGUUUGUAAUUAGUGGACCUUGCAUUAGGCUAAGAAUGUGCAUUUCUAACAGUUUUUCAAAUGAGGUUAAUAUUGGUGAUCUAAGGACUAUACUUUAGAACUACUGAUCCACAGUGUAAAGUAAUGUUUAAGAACAAAGAUUCUAGAGCAAGAUUGUCUUGGUUUCAACCUGACCCUGCCAUUUACUACCUGUAACACUGGGCAGAUUAUUUAACCUCUCUAUAUCUGUUUCCUCUUCUGCAAAAUGGUGGUGAUAAUAGUAUUUACCUCACUGGACUUUCUCAAAGAUCAAGAGUUAAUACAUAAAAGACUGUAGAACAGUGCUUGAAAGAAUGAAAAUAAAGUAUUAACUGCUGUCAUAA
Molecule: long non-coding RNA, 1856 nt
Organism: Ictidomys tridecemlineatus (thirteen-lined ground squirrel)
Lineage: Eukaryota; Metazoa; Chordata; Mammalia; Rodentia; Sciuridae
Source: RefSeq, a predicted model, not a curated record